AAGCAGUGGAACUGGAAAGGGAAAGUGAAGAAGAUAGUUAUUUUUUCAGUAACUGCAGUCAUCUUGAGUAAAAUUGCUAUUGUCUCAGUACCAUCUUUGGAACACUUGCUGGCAGCUUCCACAACAGAUGAUGAAGCUCAAAUGGUCUCUUCAGAUUGUUAAACAUUCCAAGAUGCUUUGGUAGUAGCUGAACAUGGCCCUUUCCUCUGCUUCCUUACGUGAUGCUGAAGAAAUCCCAACAAUGGAAAACUGAUUUAGUGAAAAGUUAGUCCGUUUGGUCCUGCUUCAUGACACUUCUGAAGUGGUGGGGAGUCUUUGCCACAGACCUGGGCCCCAAGCUGAGAAGUGCUGAGAAGAGGACAGUGCUGACAGCCUGGUCUGGUGAUGGACCACAGUGAGAUUGGUGGUGGUCUGAGAAAAGAGAACUUGAUCACUGAAGUGAGCAGCAGAGUUCCCUUGUGACCAUUUUCUGCAGGCUCCUUUCCUGAUCCCUAGGCAGUGCACAAGAGAGCUGAAGAAACAAUAAUUUCAUCAGCUACUCCAUGUAUUAUAAAGACUAUUCUGUGCACAGCUGCAGAGAGCAGCAC
Molecule: long non-coding RNA, 587 nt
Organism: Melopsittacus undulatus (budgerigar)
Lineage: Eukaryota; Metazoa; Chordata; Aves; Psittaciformes; Psittaculidae
Exons: 3
Source: RefSeq, a predicted model, not a curated record